CCCUUAGAUGUCCUGGGCCGCACGCGCGCUACACUGAUGCAUUCAACGAGUUUUUCCUUGGCCGAGAGGCCUGGGCAAUCUUUUGAACGUGCAUCGUGAUAGGGAUAGAUUAUUGCAAUUUUUAAUCUUGAACGAGGAAUUCCUAGUAAACGCAGUUCAUCAAUCUGCAUUGAUUACGUCCCUGCCCUUUGUACACACCGCCCGUCGCACCUACCGAUUGAAUGGUCCGGUGAAGCCUCGGGAUUGUGGCUAGUUCCCUUCAUUGGGAGUUGGUUGCGAGAACUUGUCUAAACCUUAUCAUUUAGAGGAAGGUGAANUCGUAACA
This 325-nucleotide ribosomal RNA is filed under the name uncultured eukaryote. Its description in RNAcentral is "partial 18S ribosomal RNA". It matches the Rfam family "Eukaryotic small subunit ribosomal RNA", at positions 1470 to 1796 of the family's 1831-position model. The record is from RNAcentral.